Molecule: ribosomal RNA, 253 nt
Filed under: uncultured bacterium
Lineage: Bacteria
Description: partial 16S ribosomal RNA
Rfam family: Bacterial small subunit ribosomal RNA
Source: RNAcentral
GACGAAGGUGGCGAGCGUUGUUCGGAAUCACUGGGCCUAAAGCGCACGUAGGCGGCGACAUAAGUUGGGUGUGAAAUCCCCCGGCCCAACCGGGGAACUGCGCCCAGUACUGUGUUGCUUGAGGAUCCAAGGGGUGCAUGGAAUUCCCGGUGGAGCGGUGAAAUGCGUUGAUAUCGGGAGGAACUCCGGCGGCGAGAGCGGUGCGCGGGUGGAUUACUGACGCUGAGGUGCGAAAGCCAGGGGAGCAAACGGG